CAUAAACAUAGAAGUAUAAAAGAGUAAUUAUUAUGGAAAGUGAGACAUUGGGUACCAAUAGAUAAUUAAUAUUAAAAUAUGGCUAAAUAUUUGUUUUGUUAUGUUCCUUUUUAACUCAUAAGGGAGGAUGUCUAUGUGGGUAUGCUCAUCAUGGUGCUAUUGUGCACAGGUCAGAGGACAACUACAAGCAGUUAGAUACCUCCUUGAAAAAUGGAACCCCCAAAUCAACUCAUGUUUUCCACCUAGACAAGUGUUUAGCCCUUCAAGAGGACCAGUAUUUGUUUUGUAGACUGUGAUGAUUCCAUUGAAUACUCAGUCAUGCAAGGAAGGGGAAAUUGACAGAUGAGUUCAAUAAACAGCAUUGUGCUGAUCUGGCUGAGUCUCCAAACAGAGACAGAAGGAAGCACAAAUGAACCAGUCAUCUGUGACCUUCUAAUGCGGAGAAUAUCACUGAAGAUAAUUUUGACAAGAGAAAUGAG
Molecule: long non-coding RNA, 479 nt
Organism: Rattus norvegicus (Norway rat)
Lineage: Eukaryota; Metazoa; Chordata; Mammalia; Rodentia; Muridae
Source: Ensembl